This 253-nucleotide ribosomal RNA is filed under the name uncultured bacterium. Its description in RNAcentral is "partial 16S ribosomal RNA". It matches the Rfam family "Bacterial small subunit ribosomal RNA", at positions 524 to 776 of the family's 1533-position model. The record is from RNAcentral.
UACAGAGGGGGCAAGCGUUGUUCGGAAUUACUGGGCGUAAAGCGCGCGUAGGCGGCUUCGCAAGUCAGAGGUGAAAGCCCGGGGCUCAACCCCGGAACUGCCUUUGAGACUGCGUCGCUAGAAUCCAGGAGAGGUGAGUGGAAUUCCGAGUGUAGAGGUGAAAUUCGUAGAUAUUCGGAAGAACACCAGUGGCGAAGGCGGCUCACUGGACUGGUAUUGACGCUGAGGUGCGAAAGCGUGGGGAGCAAACAGG